Molecule: ribosomal RNA, 514 nt
Filed under: uncultured Pseudomonadota bacterium
Lineage: Bacteria; Pseudomonadati; Pseudomonadota
Description: bacterial SSU rRNA
Rfam family: Bacterial small subunit ribosomal RNA
Source: RNAcentral
CAACGCCGCGUGAGUGAUGAAGGCCUUCGGGUCGUAAAGCUCUGUCAAGUGGGAAGAACCUGCCUUGUGAUAAUACCACGAGGCACUGACGGUACCACUGAAGGAAGCACCGGCUAACUCCGUGCCAGCAGCCGCGGUAAUACGGGGGGUGCUAGCGUUAUUCGGAAUCAUUGGGCGUAAAGGGCGCGUAGGCGGUCUCUUAAGUCAGAUGUGAAAGCCCUCGGCUUAACCGAGGAAGUGCAUUUGAAACUAAGGGACUUGAGUAUGGGAGAGGGAAGCGGAAUUCCUGGUGUAGCGGUGAAAUGCGUAGAUAUCAGGAGGAACACCGGUGGCGAAGGCGGCUUCCUGGACCAAUACUGACGCUGAGGCGCGAAGGCGUGGGGAGCAAACAGGAUUAGAUACCCUGGUAGUCCACGCAGUAAACGGUGAACACUAGGUGUAGCGGGUAUUGACCCCUGCUGUGCCGAAGCUAACGCAUUAAGUGUUCCGCCUGGGAAGUACGGCCGCAAGGUUA